RNAcentral lists this transfer RNA (62 nucleotides) under Cavia porcellus (domestic guinea pig). It matches the Rfam family "tRNA". Rfam says of the family: Transfer RNA (tRNA) molecules are approximately 80 nucleotides in length. Lineage: Eukaryota; Metazoa; Chordata; Mammalia; Rodentia; Caviidae. The record is from Rfam by way of RNAcentral.
GGGGAUUUAGCUCAGUGGCCUAAGCACCUGCCUCGUAAGCAGGGUCGUGAGUUCAAUCCCUG